This 434-nucleotide ribosomal RNA is filed under the name uncultured bacterium. RNAcentral describes it as "partial 16S ribosomal RNA". It matches the Rfam family "Bacterial small subunit ribosomal RNA", at positions 29 to 508 of the family's 1533-position model. The record is from RNAcentral.
AACGAACGCUGGCGGCAUGCCUAAUACAUGCAAGUCGAACGAGAUCUUCGGAUCUAGUGGCGCACGGGUGCGUAACGCGUGGGAAUCUGCCCUUGGGUUCGGAAUAACUUCUGGAAACGGAAGCUAAUACCGGAUGAUGACGUAAGUCCAAAGAUUUAUCGCCCAAGGAUGAGCCCGCGUAGGAUUAGGUAGUUGGUGAGGUAAAGGCUCACCAAGCCGACGAUCCUUAGCUGGUCUGAGAGGAUGAUCAGCCACACUGGGACUGAGACACGGCCCAGACUCCUACGGGAGGCAGCAGUAGGGAAUAUUGGACAAUGGGCGAAAGCCUGAUCCAGCAAUGCCGCGUGAGUGAUGAAGGCCUUAGGGUUGUAAAGCUCUUUUACCCGGGAUGAUAAUGACAGUACCGGGAGAAUAAGCUCCGGCUAACUCCGUGC